AGAGUUUGAUCAUGGCUCAGAUUGAACGCUGGCGGCAUGCCUUACACAUGCAAGUCGAACGGCAGCACGGACUUCGGUCGGGUGGCGAGUGGCGAACGGGUGAGUAAUACAUCGGAACGUGUCCUGGAGUGGGGGAUAGCCCGGCGAAAGCCGGAUUAAUACCGCAUACGCUCUGAGGAGGAAAGCGGGGGAUCUUCGGACCUCGCGCUCAAGGGGCGGCCGAUGGCAGAUUAGCUAGUUGGUGGGGUAAAGGCCUACCAAGGCGACGAUCUGUAGCUGGUCUGAGAGGACGACCAGCCACACUGGGACUGAGACACGGCCCAGACUCCUACGGGAGGCAGCAGUGGGGAAUUUUGGACAAUGGGCGCAAGCCUGAUCCAGCAAUGCCGCGUGUGUGAAGAAGGCCUUCGGGUUGUAAAGCACUUUUGUCCGGAAAGAAAACCUUUGCCCUAAUACGGCGGGGGGAUGACGGUACCGGAAGAAUAAGCACCGGCUAACUACGUGCCAGCAGCCGCGGUAAUACGUAGGGUGCAAGCGUUAAUCGGAAUUACUGGGCGUAAAGCGUGCGCAGGCGGUCCGUUAAGACAGAUGUGAAAUCCCCGGGCUUAACCUGGGAACUGCAUUUGUGACUGGCGGACUCGAGUAUGGCAGAGGGGGGUAGAAUUCCACGUAGCAGUGAAAUGCGUAGAGAUGUGGAGGAAUACCGAUGGCGAAGGCAGCCCCCUGGGCCAAUACUGACGCUCAUGCACGAAAGCGUGGGGAGCAAACAGGAUUAGAUACCCUAGUAGUCC
RNAcentral lists this ribosomal RNA (791 nucleotides) under uncultured bacterium. RNAcentral describes it as "bacterial SSU rRNA". It matches the Rfam family "Bacterial small subunit ribosomal RNA", at positions 8 to 796 of the family's 1533-position model. The record is from RNAcentral.